Molecule: long non-coding RNA, 397 nt
Organism: Piliocolobus tephrosceles (Ugandan red Colobus)
Lineage: Eukaryota; Metazoa; Chordata; Mammalia; Primates; Cercopithecidae
Exons: 3
Source: RefSeq, a predicted model, not a curated record
GAGUUUGUAAAUAUUUUCGAUGAUGAUAUAAAACAAGUUUUGUUAAAAAAUAGAGAUCUGGCUCAUUUGUUAAUGAAUAAACCGGAUGUUGUACAGAAAAUGUUAAAAGGAGCGCAAUACGUUGACGAAGCAUUAUGCUCUUUACAAGAAGAAUUAAAAAGUUGGAACAAAUCAAACUUAAUUUCUUAACACAGAACGAGACGAAUUGUUGUCGUCGUCCUUUUUCGUUAUUUUAUUUUCCACCUUUUAUUUUUCAUUUUUCAUUUUCCACUUUUUAUUUCCCAUUUCAUAUUUCAUUUUAUUUUUUAAAUAUAGCUAUGCAUAUAUUUUGUUUAAGUUAACUUUGUCAUUUAUUAAUUACUUUUUAUUUUUUAUGCGUACAUUGUUAACAAUUUUU